UGAAUUCCAUUGCCCCACUAAAAGUCAAUAUCGGUUUUGACAGUUUUGGCUCUUGCCUGUCAAAUCUAGUUCAAUGAAUCCGUUUUUCAAUGCAUUUAAAAAUCAACGUUACCUUUAGAUAUCUUCGAUGAGUUUCGUGCAUGUAACGAAACUUUCGUUCUUAGUCCACCUCGUCUAUCAUGGACAAUCGAGGUUUAGUUGGUAAUCACACCAAACUACAUAACUCUUCAACCGACUUUGAUUCUGUACACUCUAACGACGUGAUCAAAUUGAUGGCCAUCAGUGGAUACAAUAUAAAUGAAACUGCAUCAGGCUCUGAAAGUCCGAAAGAGUGUUAUGGAGAUUCACAGCACCACAGUUUUGUUAAAGUCAUUCCUGUGGAGUACACAAAGCAAAAGUUCCCAAGCAGUGCUUACAACACCCAGAAUAUUUCAAGCCAAGAAGACAUAAGGAACUAUCCUAUUUUGUUGAAUGAGAAAGAUCAGUCAGAAAUGUCUAGUAUUGCCUCUGUAUCAACUCUAUCAAGUCAUGUCAUGAAUCGUGCAAUGUCUGCAACUGGUGCGGCUAUGUCAGAUAAACUCUCUCCUCCCCGGAUUCCUAACGGUCAAUUGUGUGUUUUCCUGAGCAAUGGAACCUGUGUCUGUGUUGAUGUUGAACAUGGUGUCAACACCAACUCUGCAACAAUUUUGAAAACAUUGAUAGAGACUGAAGAAUUAAGGUUACCUCCAUUCGCUAUGAAUGUAUUUGCUUUGUGGAUGAUAUCACCAGAAUUAGAAGUGCAGCUGAAACCCCAUCACAAACCCAUCAAGAUUUACGCCGAAUGGGCGCAGCUAGUCAAGAAAUUUACCAAAUACGACGGAAAUUCAACGUUACCUGAGCCCACUCUGCAUUUAAGGCGGAACGCGUUCUACCACAGAAGUGAUGAAAUGCGACUACGAGACUCUGGGAUAAUUGAAUUGCUCUACUGCGAGGCUAAACACCAUGUUCUAGUCGGGCGUUAUCCUUGUGACCUCCCCGAAACCUUUCUCCUUGGUAGCCUUGUGGCCAGAAUCAAUUUGGGCAAUUUUAUUCCCCAACAACACACACCAAUGUUCUUCAGGAGCCGAUUGCGAGAUUACCUUCCAUCCUACGCGUGUGUCAAGUCAACCCCAUGGUCUCUAGUUUGGCCGCUGUCCAAAUUGCAGCGACCAGACAAAACUGCACCUGAAUCUUUGAUAGUCGAGCAGCUCAAAAAACUUCCUAACAACAUUCCCAGUCAGAGAUUGAUGCUGAAUUAUUUGAAACGCUGUUGGGCAAGACCCUAUUACGGGGCUGCGUUUUUCUGCGGUCAAAUCGAAGAACGGCGCACCUCUCGAAUGUCGUCAUGGUUCACCUCGGGUGACCUCGAAAUCCAGGUGGCCGUCAGCUCGGUGGGAGUGUAUUUGAUUGAACCGCACGAAGGGACUGUCCUACUCGGUUUAAAGUAUGGCGAAUUCAUUUGGGAUUGCGCAUUGCCGUAUCGCCUGGACGAUCCAGAUUGCUUUCCCUGCAUUUUUCUCCAGUUUGCCUCUCCGCCGUCCAGCCCUCGCGAUGGCAAUGACACUUGCGUCAUUCAGAUAUUUUCGAAGCAGGCCGUCAUGGUGAACGCUUUGAUAGCCUACUACACCAACAGGCAGAGGAGGAAUUCGACCGCGGCUGCCAACGCUUCCAGCGACGAAAUUGAUGGAGGUAUCCAUGGAGAACAGGAUCUAGACGAUGUUAUGGCCCCGCUAACCAACCCGGCGCAAACCGGGUUACUUGACUCGUGUCUGACCAACAAGCUUCAUCGGCUCUCGUUGGCAACUUUUGAUGACGAAGGACGCUGCCUUAUAUCGACGGGGUCCUUGGCGGUAAUCAGGUAAUCUGUCAACAGCUCUCGUUUCAUCGACGGUGAUGGUGGCCCGAGCAUUUUGAUGUUCAAUUUUUAUUUGGCUCGAUUCUCCACUCGUUAUUCUCCCCCCACCCAGUUAUAAUCCCAUCACACAUGGAAGAAAAAACCCAACACAUUUUGAACGUCGAUAAGCCUGGAUUUUCCCUAUUGGUUUAUUCGGUUCUGAUCUCUUUUCAGUAAACACACACACACACACAGACGUAUAUAGAUAUUUUCCAAAGAAGAACAAGAAUAAUAUGUACAGCACGAUGCAUUGAAACUCCCCACUAUUCCGUCUCGCCACACUAAAGAAUUGGAAAUAUUCCCGUUUUUAAUUGAUCGAUUCAUUUGAUUUUGAAAGUCCGUUUUAUAAUUUCUCUGUCGACCCGCGCUGUUAAAGGAUGUCCUGUAAACUUUGAAUAUUUUCAAUUAGAUGUGCUAUGGAACGUAUUGAUCUCAACUAUGAUGAAACAGUAAAAACCCUCCCCUGCCCCAAUUUUAACACAGGGAUACUAAGACAAGGAUAAGAAGAAGAAACAAAAGUUCUAAAAGGAAAACAAAAAAGCAAAUUGAAAAAGGAUGGAUGACAUUCAUUUUUUUGUAGAUGAUAUGACACUUAGUCUGUGCUUAUUCAUUUUUACUUAUCAUGGUCAUAAAUACACGACACUUCAA
This 2560-nucleotide unclassified non-coding RNA is filed under the name Daphnia pulex (common water flea). RNAcentral's name for it is "putative FERM domain-containing protein FRMD8P1, transcript variant X1". Lineage: Eukaryota; Metazoa; Arthropoda; Branchiopoda; Diplostraca; Daphniidae. The record is from RNAcentral.